UGGGGAAUCUUGCGCAAUGGGGGGAACCCUGACGCAGCCAUGCCGCGUGAAUGAAGAAGGCCUUCGGGUUGUAAAGUUCUUUCGGUAUUGAGGAAGGUUGAUGUGAUAAUAGCACAUCAAAUUGACGUUAAAUACAGAAGAAGCACCGGCUAACUCCGUGCCAGCAGCCGCGGUAAUACGGAGGGUGCGAGCGUUAAUCGGAAUAACUGGGCGUAAAGGGCACGCAGGCGGUUAUUUAAGUGAGGUGUGAAAGCCCUGGGCUUAACCUAGGAAUUGCAUUUCAGACUGGGUAACUAGAGUACUUUAGGGAGGGGUAGAAUUCCACGUGUAGCGGUGAAAUGCGUAGAGAUGUGGAGGAAUACCGAAGGCGAAGGCAGCCCCUUGGGAAUGUACUGACGCUCAUGUGCGAAAGCGUGGGGAGCAAACAGGAUUAGAUACCCUGGUAGUCCACGCUGUAAACGCUGUCGAUUUGGGGGUUGGGGUUUAACUUUGGCGCCCGUAGCUAACGUGAUAAAUCGACCGCCUGGGGAGUACGGCCGCAAGGUUA
RNAcentral lists this ribosomal RNA (547 nucleotides) under uncultured bacterium. Its description in RNAcentral is "bacterial SSU rRNA". It matches the Rfam family "Bacterial small subunit ribosomal RNA", at positions 355 to 896 of the family's 1533-position model. The record is from RNAcentral.